Molecule: small nuclear RNA, 103 nt
Organism: Mesocricetus auratus (golden hamster)
Lineage: Eukaryota; Metazoa; Chordata; Mammalia; Rodentia; Cricetidae
Source: Ensembl
GUGCUCGCUUCGGCAGCACAUAUACUAAAAUUGGAACGAUACAGAGAAGAUUAGCAUGGCCCCUGCCCAAGUUACUGCUAAACUUUUACUCAUUCAAGUAUUU